Molecule: ribosomal RNA, 468 nt
Filed under: uncultured bacterium
Lineage: Bacteria
Description: partial 16S ribosomal RNA
Rfam family: Bacterial small subunit ribosomal RNA
Source: RNAcentral
GACGAACGCUGGCGGCGUGCUUAACACAUGCAAGUCGAACGGAAAGGCCCUGCUUUUGUGGGGUGCUCGAGUGGCGAACGGGUGUGUAACACGUGAGUAACCUGCCCUUGACUUUGGGAUAACUUCAGGAAACUGGGGCUAAUACCGGAUAGGAGCUCCUGCUGCAUGGUGGGGGUUGGAAAGUUUCGGCGGUUGGGGAUGGACUCGCGGCUUAUCAGCUUGUUGGUGGGGUAGUGGCUUACCAAGGCUUUGACGGGUAGCCGGCCUGAGAGGGUGACCGGCCACAUUGGGACUGAGAUACGGCCCCGACUCCUACGGGAGGCAGCAGUGGGGAAUAUUGCACAAUGGGCGGAAGCCUGAUGCAGCAACGACGCGUGCGGGAUGACGGCCUUCGGGUUGUAAACCGCUUUCGCCUGUGACGAAGCGUGAGUGACGGUAAUGGGUAAAGAAGCACCGGCUAACUACGUG